UACGUAGGGACCGAGCGUUGUCCGGAUUCAUUGGGCGUAAAGAGCUCGUAGGCGGCUGUUCAAGUCGAACGUGAAAACUCGGAGCUCAACUCCGAGCCUGCGUUCGAUACUGGACGGCUAGAGUCUGGUAGGGGGAUCUGGAAUUCCUGGUGUAGCGGUGGAAUGCGCAGAUAUCAGGAGGAACACCGGUGGCGAAGGCGGCCUGCUGGGCAGUAGCUGACGCUGAUGCGCGACAGCGUGGGGAGCAAACAGG
Molecule: ribosomal RNA, 253 nt
Filed under: uncultured bacterium
Lineage: Bacteria
Description: partial 16S ribosomal RNA
Rfam family: Bacterial small subunit ribosomal RNA
Source: RNAcentral